This is a long non-coding RNA of Acinonyx jubatus (cheetah), 2220 nucleotides long. RefSeq lists it as uncharacterized. The record is from RefSeq and is a predicted model, not a curated record. The transcript has 3 exons. NCBI's taxonomy places the organism in Eukaryota, Metazoa, Chordata, Mammalia, Carnivora, Felidae.
GGGGGGACUUGAGUAUGCCUGAGGUGUGCAGAAGCACUGGUGGCACAAGCGUAGGACCCUUUCGGGAUUUGCAAGAUGCUUAACUGUGCCCCACCAGUUACCGCCGAGGAAUGCAGUUGGUAUGCAAAGUGGCUUAAUUGACCUACAGGUUGGUUGAGUUUUAAAACCCGGUACCGAUGCAAGACAGAGGAAAACAGAUCUGACAGAUCCAGGAUGAGGCUGUGUGGUUUACGCAAACACGGACAAAAAACAUCCGGGGACAGAAUGGCCUCACGUGGAAAACGGCCUGGUGAUUAGACAGAUAAAUGGAUGGAUGGAUGGAUGGAUGGAUGGGUGUUAGCUGAGAGGGAGCAAGGGGAAAGGCAGACCCCAGGAGCUUUUGGAUUAUGUAUGUAGAACCCAACACCCUGGGCGUACGGAAGGUGUUCUAGACGGGCGCUGGACACUGACAAGUCAACCCAGGACCGGAGAGAAUGUGUCGAUUCUUUCUAAAGAGUUACUCCACACCUGGAUGUGGCGGAGUUGGCUGUAGAAGUCAUCAGUUGAGUUGGGUCACGAUGGAAAACAUUUGUGCACGAAGUCUGUAGUUGUUAGGUUCUGAGUGUGCACUGAGCCAUCAUAUUCCUGGCUUUGAAUUGCCACCCCAGGAAGGAACCUUGGGUGCAUUAUUUAACCUCUCUGGAUCUCGGUUUCCUCAUGUACGAAUGAAUGCCUGUUUCAUGGAGAGGAUGGAAUGAGGCAUAUAGUUAGAACUUGGUCCCUGGUCGGGAUUACCCUUGUGUGUAUUACUUUUUUCAACCUAUUUUAAUCGUCAGGGAACAUCGUGCCAGGUCCCUGCUAGACGCUAAGGAUAAAGACUUCUUUGUUUCAUUUUACAAAUGUUUGCUGAGCACCUACUGUGUGCCUGGAAGACACUAAGUCCUGGAGGUUGGACUUAGGGGGAAACAGACAAGACCCCUGCCCACAAGGUGCCUCUAGCCUGGCAAGGAAGACGGGCAUUCAAAUAAUUAACGUACUUAGCAUAAAGAGGUCUGUGAUGAGCCAGCCCAAUGGGCUGGACACAAAGAGUAUCGAGGCCUCUGCAAAUGGGAAAACUGAAGCACAGAAAAGGGAGACGUGCCCAGGUCCCCUCACCCCGUGGGUGGCAAGAGCCUCAACUGGAACACAGACCAGCCUGACUCCAAAGUCCACAUCCUUUCUCAACAACGCACAGCGGUGGCUGUGUGUUCCAAGCUUCUGGACGAAGACAUCAGGCUGGGCAGAGUUGAGAAAAUGCACAGACACAGAGGGAGUCAUUUUUCAGAGUCUCCAAUUUGGGAAAGAUGUAACUUCUGGGAUCCAGAGGAGAGGAUUUGAGAAGAGUCAGCGCCUGCUGCCCCCCGAGGGGUGCUGGGUGAUUCUCGGUGGAUGGAUAACUGGGGAAAUGACAACGUCAGUACGUCUAGCCUUAUCUCCCAGCCUGCCGCUCUGUCAGAGGAAAUGAGGUUUGCUUGGCACAUCUACUCUUUAUGAUGUCAUUUUGGCUGUGGUCUGCGUGUCUUGCUCCCCUAGAUGCAGCAUCGGCAGAGUGUUCUUGGCAUCACCACACUCUUGGCAAGUGCUUCGCGUUUCAUCUAGAACUCAGAGACCGUUCUAGUUGCACAGAAGGCUGAGAACAAGACGGCCUCCAGCCCAGAGAGGUCUGGGCUGGCUGCCGGGGGCUGACUUCCCCAGGACUCAUCCCCAGCCCCUCCAACUGCACCCCUUCUGGAAGAUUGCCUCACUCCAACCUCAACACCCCCCUUGCCUUGGAAGGUGCUCUUCCUUCCCCCUGGAAUAUUCCUCAUCACUGUUCUAUGCCCUAGAUCACCUGGGCUGGGAUCCAGGUGCCUCUGCCUGAGCUAAGUCCCUGCUCUGUGCCCCCAGGGCACCGUGGAUUCGCCCAACCAUGCAUGACAUCCAGGACACUGGAAUGCUCUGCUCUCUGUCUGGCUGCCUCCCGGCCGGUACCCUCCAGGAGGGCAGGGACAGGGACCACGAAACCCUCAGUGGAUGUUUGCAGAGUAGACACAUGGAGAUUGGCUGGUUCCUCUCAUUUUCUAGCCCUACCUCCCUCAGAGGCAAUACCUUCAGAUGGCAAUAUAUUCAUUUCAUCUGGACCCACUUCUGACAGCCAUUUUGUUUAGUAACAUAGAUGCUGGAAUGACGUGCCUGUUGAUUUUUUUGGGGGGGUUGGGUUUG